Long non-coding RNA from Arachis duranensis, 1854 nucleotides. RefSeq lists it as uncharacterized. The record is from RefSeq and is a predicted model, not a curated record. Lineage: Eukaryota; Viridiplantae; Streptophyta; Magnoliopsida; Fabales; Fabaceae. The transcript is spliced from 6 exons.
AUCCCUGAAUACAUGUUAUUCAUUUAUUGUGGACAUAGUCAUGAUGGAAUCUUUCAACCUGACCAGACAUCAAAUCAAUGGAACAAUAAUACUGAUGCUGUUGCGUGCUUAAAUCCCCCAUCUCAGGAUAGUUUUGCUUAUGGGAUAUAUCAAAAUGUUGAAACUCUUGUUACAGAAACUAAUGUGAUCAACAAAUACAUCUAUUCUUUGUUUUGGGGAUUCCAGCAAAUUUGUACUUUGGCUGGUAAUCUGGUCCCUAGCACUUUUGUGUGGGAAGUCCUUUUCAGUAUGGCCAUUAUAGGAUUUGAACUCUUACUUUUUGCUAUUCUUAUUGGUCACAUACAGAAUUUUCUUCAAGCUCUUGGGCGGAGGAGGCUAGAAAUGCAAACUCAGUGGCUGUGACGUGGAGCAAUGGAUGAGCUAUCGACGCUUACCAGAAAAUAUAAGGAGUGUUGUAACCGGACCGAUUUUCACGGUCAGAGGUCACCCAAUGGCUUCAAAUCGGUUCCAGGACCAGACAACGUGCAUAAUCGGUGCGAACUGGUUUGAGCUGGGAGGUUUUCACCAAAACCGGGGAACUGACAGACUGAGACAGUGAAGAAAAAGUAAAACCCUAAUUUCUAAUUUGGACGGCACCCCCUUCUCUUCCCCAACCUCAUGCGCUCACACUUUCGGUCAGUCACAGAGCUCUCAACCUCUCACUCUGACCGGUCUAUGCUCGCCUCUCUCUCUCGCCGGUGCUCGCCUCUCACUCUCGACGGUCUGUACUCGCCUCUAGCCGGCUCAUCUGCUCGUCUCCGUGUGUGCUGCUCUGCUCACCUCCGUCUGUCGCCUUCAUUGCCCCGCCUCGUGACUCGUCUGUCCCUGCAGUGUGCUUUGACGUGCCUCCACCUUCUUUGCUGUGACUUGGGUUCUGCUUCUGCAGUGUAGAGUAAGGCUUCCAGGACAAAGGCUGCUUAGCAACAGAACAGUGAGGUGCUUAACAAAUGUCGAGUCAUUUUAGCCAUGGCCUCCGGCCUUGAAGAAGUCACAGUCCUUUUCACAAGAUUCUUGCGGAGUCCGCGUGUUCAAGGAGCCUUAAGGUAUGAAUCACCUCAUUGGAGAUCCUUAGCUGCAAUUCGUAUUCAAGUUGCAUGGAGAUACAGGAAGAAACGUCUAAGUCGUGCUGAUUCUGCUGUUUAAAAUUUAAAAUUAAAAUAGAGUGCGAGUAUCAUUACCACAUACAAACGUGUAAUUGUGUAAAUAAUAAAGGGACAAAAUUGUAGUCUGAAAAUUUUCAAUAUGGAAGACAACUGUUGUAACUUGUAAAUGAAUAGCUGACGUGGACGUUAUGCAUUUUCGCAAAACGCAGGUUGCGUUUUGCAGGUACGGUCGCUUUUUGGGUUUCUCGCAGGUUGCGUUUUGGAGGUGCGGUGGCUUUUAGGGUUUUGAUAGAAAUUUUAUAUUAUAUAAUGCACUAGCUGGGAGGAGAAGUACUUCAUAGAUCUAGAUCUGUAAUUGAGAGAGAUAGACAGAAAGAACGAAAGAAGCAGCGGCGAAGACGAUGAGGAAUUUCUUCGGUGACCACUGAGUAUAUAUCAUCACGGUUGGUUCGAACACCACUGUCUUCUUUAUUUAUUUACUUAUUUAUUUUGUUGUUUUUGUUUUGGGUCUGUUUUUUUUUAUCGGUCUUUAUUUAUUUAAUUUUUUGGUCAGACUUAUUUUGUUCGAAUCUUCUAUGUUCUUUAUUUUUGAGUUGAGUUAUCCAUAAAAGCAUUAAAAAAAAACAGUGGGUGCUCCGAAGGAAAAAUGGAAAGUAGGGUUAGAUUACAAAGUGUACUAUAAUUGUGAGAUUGUCAAUCUGAGAUUUGAUUG